Ochotona princeps (American pika) is the source of this 562-nucleotide long non-coding RNA. RefSeq lists it as uncharacterized. The record is from RefSeq and is a predicted model, not a curated record. The transcript is spliced from 4 exons. Lineage: Eukaryota; Metazoa; Chordata; Mammalia; Lagomorpha; Ochotonidae.
CAUAACAGAGCACAGAAAUGGCAGUACUCAAGCAUCACCCAAACUGUGUAUCCUUUGAUUAUUAAGUCAAGCCCUGCUUCGCACAGCACCCUUCUUGCCUCCAGAUCACAGGAAAGCCUGAACCUUGAUAUCAUAAGAGGAAGACUCAACACCCAAGUAGAACUACUCAAGGGCCAUAGCACAAUUUGGAGUCCAGGACUUGGAGUUCUGCAUUAGCCAUGGAUGUAUCUCUCCAAAACCUUAGGAAUAAAAAUAAGAACAAAAGACAAAACAGCUUGAUAAACACAGAGACAUUUUUCACCUUUAUCAAAAGUUCUCUGUGGCUCCCCCAAGGUGAAGUUCCAGAAAGGCACUAAGACACAGCUGUAGGAAAAGCUGAAAGGACCCUGGACGACAUCCAAUUCACACCCUUACUAACAUAAACAGUCCACACAUUCAAUGUAUAUCAUUGUAAACAGAAUCAGAGCACUCCAGAGAUAACUGUAAUUUUGUACAGUCAUCGAACACAAUAUUCUUAUUUUUGUAAGGCUUCUCUGCUUUUUUUAUUUGGAGUAAUGGAGUG